This 508-nucleotide long non-coding RNA is filed under the name Trifolium pratense (red clover). RNAcentral's name for it is "long non-coding RNA (TPRA_LNC008779)". Lineage: Eukaryota; Viridiplantae; Streptophyta; Magnoliopsida; Fabales; Fabaceae. The record is from RNAcentral.
AGCAUCAGAUCAGAUUGUUCUUUACCUGUGUUAUAUAGUCAACCAUUAGAUUGUUCUUUGCCUUAUAAGAUUGUUCUUUUAUGGUGUACGGUACUAUCUUAGAACAUCCACUACCAUUCAGUUUUAAGUAUAAUAAUAUUGAUCAAAACUAAAACUACUAAUCCAAAAUUAACUAUCAUAUUAAUAAGAUGCAUUUUAUUUAUAUAAAUGAACCUGGCAGCCUUGGCACGUCUCUUGGCUUGUUCAGCAAUUUCAGAGUCUUCAUGAUGGCUGCUGUUGCUCUUAGUUUCUUUUGCUUGGUAAGACAUCAAGCAAAUCUGCACAAAGAGCAGGAAAAGCAGGAAAGAACAUACUUAAUGCAAAAACAGGAAUUGAAAAAAUAAUCUGAAUAAAGUAUACAUUGUAAAGCAAUACAUAAAGCUGAAAAAAUGGUAUACCUCUAUUGGUCUUAACUUCUUUAGGAUCUUUCUUUUCUUUAGCUACCCCAAAAACAUCAUGGCACANNNNN